Molecule: ribosomal RNA, 497 nt
Filed under: uncultured bacterium
Lineage: Bacteria
Description: partial 16S ribosomal RNA
Rfam family: Bacterial small subunit ribosomal RNA
Source: RNAcentral
GAUGAACGCUGGCGGCGUGCCUAAUACAUGCAAGUCGAGCGAACAGACGAGGAGCUUGCUCCUCUGACGUUAGCGGCGGACGGGCGAGUAACACGUGGAUAACCUACCUAUAAGACUGGGAUAACUUCGGGAAACCGGAGCUAAUACCGGAUAAUAUAUUGAGCCGCAUGGUUCAAUAGUGAAAGACGGUUUUGCUGUCACUUAUAGAUGGAUCCGCGCCGCAUUAGCUAGUUGGUAAGGUAACGGCUUACCAAGGCGACGAUGCGUAGCCGACCUGAGAGGGUGAUCGGCCACACUGGAACUGAGACACGGUCCAGACUCCUACGGGAGGCAGCAGUAGGGAAUCUUCCGCAAUGGGCGAAAGCCUGACGGAGCAACGCCGCGUGAGUGAUGAAGGUCUUCGGAUCGUAUAACUCUGUUAUUAGGGAAGAACAAAUGUGUAAGUAACUAUGCACGUCUUGACGGUACCUAAUCAGAAAGCCACGGCUAACUACGUG